AUGUUAUGGAAACCACCGCUCGAAAAUGGGACCGCUUUUCAAAAGAAAAGAAAGACGCUGAAUUGUUUACAACCCCCUCCACAAAAAAAUGUGCGAAGAACUGUUCCCAACUGUUCCAACCCUUUCCCAACUGUUCCAAAACUUCAGCAAGCAGGCAUCCCCUCGCGAGACCGCACGACGUCUGGACCGCUCUUCAUCAUCAUCACGUCAGAUCUCAAGCAGCCCAGUGAGGGGUUGGCUCUCCGCUUCCAGCCACAGAGAUGCACUCCACUCUGUCAUCAGACUGGUCCCCCCGCAGCCAGAACUGUCAACACUCGUUGUUGGGCUGUCCAACACACACAUCAGCGGAUAUGGCGAAUACUAUCAUUGAAUAAAGACGGAGUUGCGUCAUGGAGCAUGAAUCAUGGAAACACAUUAUGUCUCGGACAGAUCUCAAUGAAACCUCUAUUUGAUGAGAGUCAAAUAUGUACGUGGAACAAAAUGAGCAAGGAGGAAGGAGCCAUAAGGAACAAGUUAAAGAUGGAGGUGGACGACUGGUGCUUAUUAGCAGUGGUCCAGCUCAGUCUUUAAUGGCUUUCGAGGCCAACCGGGGUCUUUCCCAGCCUCUAUGAAGGAGGUGCUGCCAAUCCAAGGUCGUGGAAGGGGUCAUAUGGGCUUUAUUCAAGACGGGCUCUUGUACUCUGCUUUUCGUGAUUACUGUUUUCAAUGUGGGGUCCGCAAACGCUAGCUUUGUGUGUUUCUGCACCGAGAUGAUUGACGUAACCCGAUCAGCCACGGGAGACAUUGACCGCAUAUUGCUGUGAAAACAAUAUCUGAACUUGUUAAUAUUAUCUGAACAAUAUCUGAACCCUCCUUCAAUAACUGCAGGAGGGGGGUUUGGUCCAAAUGUUGCACAUUUUAAUUUUUCUCCAGAACUAUUUGGCGAUGCUUCUUGGUUCUAAAUUGAAUUAGCCUAAAAUGCGGCCAUAAUUAUUGCAGAGAUGAAGGAUUGGCUCUUUCACUUGGUAGCACUAAGUGUAAGUUGUAAGGUUACAAAGUGGUUAACAAAGCGUUCUCUCUUCUAACUCUUAUGUGAUUUAGCCCCGAGGAACAUACAAAACUCCUUACAUACCAGGAAAGGUUAUUAAAUUGAGCUUAAAACUUCCUGUUCCAAAUAACUCCUUCAUUCCCUUUCG
Molecule: long non-coding RNA, 1175 nt
Filed under: Gadus morhua (Atlantic cod)
Lineage: Eukaryota; Metazoa; Chordata; Actinopteri; Gadiformes; Gadidae
Description: lncRNA (ENSGMOG00000032140.1)
Source: RNAcentral